GCGGAUAUGGCGGAAUUGGCAGACGCGUACGGUUCAGGUCCGUAUGAAGGUUCCUUCAUGCAGGUUCGAGUCCUGUUAUCCGCACCA
RNAcentral lists this transfer RNA (87 nucleotides) under Clostridiales bacterium. RNAcentral describes it as "tRNA-Leu". It matches the Rfam family "tRNA". From Rfam's summary of the family: Transfer RNA (tRNA) molecules are approximately 80 nucleotides in length. Their secondary structure includes four short double-helical elements and three loops (D, anti-codon, and T loops). Further hydrogen bonds mediate the characteristic L-shaped molecular structure. tRNAs have two regions of fundamental functional importance: the anti-codon, which is responsible for specific mRNA codon recognition, and the 3' end, to which the tRNAs corresponding amino acid is attached (by aminoacyl-tRNA synthetases). tRNAs cope with the degeneracy of the genetic code in two manners: having more than one tRNA (with a specific anti-codon) for a particular amino acid; and 'wobble' base-pairing, i.e. permitting non-standard base-pairing at the 3rd anti-codon position. The record is from RNAcentral. Lineage: Bacteria; Bacillati; Bacillota; Clostridia; Eubacteriales.